RNAcentral lists this ribosomal RNA (332 nucleotides) under uncultured eukaryote. Its description in RNAcentral is "partial 18S ribosomal RNA". It matches the Rfam family "Eukaryotic small subunit ribosomal RNA", at positions 1470 to 1796 of the family's 1831-position model. The record is from RNAcentral.
CCCUUAGAUGUUUUGGGCUGCACACGUGCUACACUGGCAGGUUCAGCGAGCUUCAUGCCCUGAUCUGAAAGGAAUGGGAAAUCUUUUCAAAACCUGCCGUGCUUGGGAUAGAUGUUUGCAAUUAUUCAUCUUCAACGAGGAUUGCCUUGUAAGCGCACGUCAUCAGCGUGCAUUGAAUACGACCCUGUAUUCUGUACACACCGCCCGUCGCUCCUACCGAUUGAAGUUUUCGGUGAGUUGACAGGAGGAUUUUUUUGAAACUGGUUCGCCAGUGGAUUUUAGAUCCAAAUGCCAACGAAUCGAUGGCUUUAGAGGAAGGAGAAGUCGUAACA